RNAcentral lists this ribosomal RNA (497 nucleotides) under uncultured bacterium. RNAcentral's name for it is "partial 16S ribosomal RNA". It matches the Rfam family "Bacterial small subunit ribosomal RNA", at positions 28 to 507 of the family's 1533-position model. The record is from RNAcentral.
GAUGAACGCUGGCGGCGUGCCUAAUACAUGCAAGUCGAGCGAACGGACGAGAAGCUUGCUUCUCUGAUGUUAGCGGCGGACGGGUGAGUAACACGUGGAUAACCUACCUAUAAGACUGGGAUAACUUCGGGAAACCGUAGCUAAUACCGGAUAAUAUUUUGAACCGCAUGGUUCAAAAGUGAAAGACGGUCUUGCUGUCACUUAUAGAUGGAUCCGCGCUGCAUUAGCUAGAUGGUAAGGUAACGGCUUACCAAGGCAACGAUGCAUAGCCGACCUGAGAGGGUGAUCGGCCACACUGGAACUGAGACACGGUCCAGACUCCUACGGGAGGCAGCAGUAGGGAAUCUUCCGCAAUGGGCGAAAGCCUGAUGGAGCAACGCCGCGUGAGUGAUGAAGGUCUUCGGAUCGUAAAACUCUGUUAUUAGUGAAGAACAUAUGUGUAAGUAACUGUGCACAUCUUGACGGUACCUAAUCAGAAAGCCACGGCUAACUACGUG